GAUGAACGCUGGCGGCGUGCCUAAUACAUGCAAGUCGAGCGAACAGACGAGGAGCUUGCUCCUCUGACGUUAGCGGCGGACGGGUGAGUAACACGUGGAUAACCUACCUAUAAGACUGGGAUAACUUCGGGAAACCGGAGCUAAUACCGGAUAAAAUAUUGAACCGCAUGGUCCAAUAGUGAAAGACGGUUUUGCUGUCACUUAUAGAUGGAUCCGCGCCGCAUUAGCUAGUUGGUAAGGUAACGGCUUACCAAGGCAACGAUGCGUAGCCGACCUGAGAGGGUGAUCGGCCACACUGGAACUGAGACACGGUCCAGACUCCUACGGGAGGCAGCAGUAGGGAAUCUUCCGCAAUGGGCGAAAGCUUGACGGAGCAACGCCGCGUGAGUGAUGAAGGUCUUCGGAUCGUAAAACUCUGUUAUUAGGGAAGAACAAAUGUGUAAGUAACUAUGCACGUCUUGACGGUACCUAAUCAGAAAGCCACGGCUAACUACGUG
Molecule: ribosomal RNA, 497 nt
Filed under: uncultured bacterium
Lineage: Bacteria
Description: partial 16S ribosomal RNA
Rfam family: Bacterial small subunit ribosomal RNA
Source: RNAcentral